GAUGAAGAACGUAGCAAAAUGCGAUACUUGGUGUGAAUUGCAGAAUCCCGUGAACCAUCGAGUUUUUGAACGCAAGUUGCGCCCAAAGCCUUUUGGCCGAGGGCACGUCUGCCUGGGCGUCACGCAUCGCGUCGCCCCCCACAAUUCUUCGUAAAGGGAACAUGUGUUUUGGGGGCGGAUAUUGGUCUCUCGUGCUCAUGGCGUGGUUGGCCGAAAUAGGAGUCCUUUCGAUGGACGCACGAACUAGUGGUGGUCGUAAAAACCCUCGUCUUUUGUUUCGUGCUGUUGCUCGCAAGGUAAACUCUUUAAAAACCCCAAUGUGUCGUCUCUUGACGACGCUUCGACCGCGACCCCAGGUCAGGCGGGACUACCCGCUGAGUUUAAGCAUAUCAAUAAGCGGAGGA
Molecule: unclassified non-coding RNA, 404 nt
Filed under: soil metagenome
Description: partial contains 5.8S ribosomal RNA, internal transcribed spacer 2, and large subunit ribosomal RNA
Rfam family: 5.8S ribosomal RNA (bases 1-122)
Source: RNAcentral